GACGAACGCUGGCGGCGUGCCUAAUACAUGCAAGUCGAACGCACUCUCGUUUAGAUUGAAGGAGCUUGCUCCUGAUUGAUAAACAUUUGAGUGAGUGGCGGACGGGUGAGUAACACGUGGGUAACCUGCCCUAAAGUGGGGGAUAACAUUUGGAAACAGAUGCUAAUACCGCAUAAAACCUAAACACCGCAUGGUGUAGGGUUGAAAGAUGGUUUCGGCUAUCACUUUAGGAUGGACCCGCGGUGCAUUAGUUAGUUGGUGAGGUAAAGGCUCACCAAGACCGUGAUGCAUAGCCGACCUGAGAGGGUAAUCGGCCACACUGGGACUGAGACACGGCCCACGACUCCUACGGGAGGCGAGCAGUAGGGAAGUCUUCCACAAUAGGACGAAGUCUGAUGGAGCAACGCCGCGUGAGUGAAGAAGGUUUCGGUAGUCGUAAAACUACUGUUGUUGGUAGAAGAAUGUAUCUGAUAGUAACU
RNAcentral lists this ribosomal RNA (479 nucleotides) under uncultured bacterium. Its description in RNAcentral is "bacterial SSU rRNA". It matches the Rfam family "Bacterial small subunit ribosomal RNA", at positions 28 to 480 of the family's 1533-position model. The record is from RNAcentral.